RNAcentral lists this ribosomal RNA (462 nucleotides) under uncultured bacterium. RNAcentral describes it as "partial 16S ribosomal RNA". It matches the Rfam family "Bacterial small subunit ribosomal RNA", at positions 28 to 507 of the family's 1533-position model. The record is from RNAcentral.
GAUAAACGCUGGCGGCGUGCUUAACACAUGCAAGUCGAACGAAGUUUUUCCUUCGGGAGAAACUUAGUGGCGGACGGGUGAGUAACGCGUGGGUAACCUGCCCUGUACAGGGGGACAACAGCUGGAAACGGCUGCUAAUACCGCAUAAGCCCUUAGCACUGCAUGGUGCAUAGGGAAAAGGAGCAAUCCGGUACAGGAUGGACCCGCGUCUGAUUAGCCAGUUGGCAGGGUAACGGCCUACCAAAGCGACGAUCAGUAGCCGAUCUGAGAGGAUGUACGGCCACAUUGGGACUGAGACACGGCCCAGACUCCUACGGGAGGCAGCAGUGGGGAAUAUUGCACAAUGGAGGAAACUCUGAUGCAGCGACGCCGCGUGAGUGAAGAAGUAUUUCGGUAUGUAAAGCUCUAUCAGCAGGGAAGAAAAUGGCGGUACCUGACUAAGAAGCACCGGCUAAAUACGUG